This 234-nucleotide unclassified non-coding RNA is filed under the name plant metagenome. RNAcentral describes it as "partial contains small subunit ribosomal RNA, internal transcribed spacer 1, and 5.8S ribosomal RNA". The record is from RNAcentral.
UUUCCGUAGGUGAACCUGCGGAAGGAUCAUUAAUGUGUUUGGGCCUCACGGCUCUUCAUUCCGACGCUGUGCGCCUUCGGGCUGCACGCUGAGGGAGCAUAUAUCCACCCCUGUGCACACACACGGUGGCGAGCUGCGUAACGGCUCGCCGCUGAUCUUUACACACGUCUAAAAGUCAUUGUAUGUUUAUUUGAGAUAAAAACACAACUUUCAGCAACGGAUCUCUUGGCUCUC